Molecule: microRNA precursor, 79 nt
Filed under: Medicago truncatula (barrel medic)
Lineage: Eukaryota; Viridiplantae; Streptophyta; Magnoliopsida; Fabales; Fabaceae
Description: MIR5269 microRNA precursor family
Rfam family: MIR5269 microRNA precursor family
Source: Rfam by way of RNAcentral
UUGGUUUAAAUCAUUGUGGAUAUAUAUUUUGAAAAUUGAACUCACACAAAGUAAUGAGACAUAUGCUGAUUUGAUCCAA